This 27917-nucleotide long non-coding RNA is filed under the name Zea mays. RNAcentral describes it as "long non-coding RNA (ZMAY_LNC000227)". Lineage: Eukaryota; Viridiplantae; Streptophyta; Magnoliopsida; Poales; Poaceae. The record is from RNAcentral.
AUUGGUCUACCAGAGAGGGCACAUGUGCCUCAAUUGGCCUAUAGCAUAGUGGCUCAUUAUCCUUCAACCGCUGGUGGCGGGCGGUACUCGCUGCUCUGUGAAGCCAGCCUCACGCAAUGUCCGCCACUUUAGGUGUUGGGAUGCAAAGGCUUUCGCCAAGGCAUCCGAAACCCACUACACAACUUGGAAUGGGUGGUCCACAGUUUGUAGCACUAGACCCAGGCACAUGCACCACAAUUGACAUUCACACUACCUUAUUGCCCCCGCUCGGGUUACAAGCAAUCGCUACUUGCUCAGCGAGUGAGGGGGGUUCAAGACUACCUAUUUAAGGUGGUGUUGUACUGUAUGAGCCGGCGGUGUGGUAUUUACCAACUACAAAUAGUGUCAUGCAUGUGACUUGCUAGUUGACAAUGUCUGUUGUGGAGCUAGAUGUGGGCUAUGGAUGAAGCACAUUAGGAUAUAGUAGGCCUAUUUUGUUUUUUGUUAUUUUUGGGCCACUAUGGACUUUAUGUUGAUGUUGUGAAUUUUUUUCUUGUGUUUCCUCUUCCUACGAUGUGGAAAGUGGGUGCGUCAGAGAAGAAAGAAAGAGUGGCUAGCAUUGAUUUUACGUCAUACCAUUGAGAACACUAAUCAGAAGCAGAAGCAACAAUAUUUCAUACAUAUACAACACUUGUAAUCCAUAUAAACAACUUUCCUUUCAAAUAUAAUAUAAACCACAUGAUUUAUAUCCUGGGUCGGCUAUCUCCACAAAGGGCAAGAAAACGCUCCAAGUUUGUAGUAUAGAACUAAAAGUGUCGACUCUCACGAUUUCUUCCCGACAUAUGCAAACUAGACAGUAAUCACAUAAAAUAAAGAAAUAUGUGUUAACACAAACUUAUAACAUGUAUUUCAACAUAUAGAUUUUUGAUUAUUAUGGUAGAUUAUAUAAUAUAGGGGUUCCCGAAGAAAUACAUAAAAAACAAGAGCAUUAAAAUUUCCUUUUCAGAUCUGGCUAACUGGUAAAGGGAGUUGGAGUAUCUGUGUUUCCAAAUUUGGGACGUCGCUCUAUAGAAGGAAUAUAAAUACAUUGGAAAAAAAUUCUACAAGGAAAGGUUUAAUACAAGUAGGGCUAAGAAAAACUCAAUGAGGCUUUGGUCGCAUGGUCACAAAACUUGAGACAAGAAACACGAAGACACCAAGGUAAUUAGUAUGAGAGUUUUCCAAAUUUGGUGUCUUGAUGUAGAAAAAAUAAAUAUAUGACAAACUUGUUUUUUCGCAAGGCAUGGAUAAAUAAGUGGGGGUGAGCAAUAAAUUUCAUCCUAGAUUUAGAAGGAAUAAAUAUAUCACUAAAUACGUUUUUUCAUAAUGCCAAGUUAAUCAGGUGGGAGCGAGAAACAAUUCUAGCGAGGCUAGGUUGUACUAGCCCAAAACUACAUACAACAGAGGAAAAAUGAAGAAAAUGAUGGUCUACCAAAUAUGGCGCAUGAGCCUUAAGGUGCACCUAGAGGGAAGUAGAAGAAAUAAAUAUAUAAUAGCAUAUGUUUUUCUCAAUGCAAGGUAAAGUGUAGAUGUGCUCUAACUGGGCUUAGAUUGCAGCGACACAUUAUGCAUCUACAAGGCUUGGUUGCACAUGGAAAAAGAUAGAGAGAGAAAUGUAGACACAGGACGGGGAGAAAAACAUUCAAUGAGACAUGAUUGCACGGACAUAGAACUAGAUAUAAGACAAGAGUUAAAGAAAAAUAAAGGAACUAAAUUUUCUUCUGCACACUCAGCAUGAAUGGAGUUGUAGUAUCUGAGAUCAAAAUUUAAUUUAUUCCAAGAUGCAGAACAAAAACGUGAUACUCGUAAUGGUUACAUAGGAACAAAAGUAGAUAAGAAAAAUAGCAAAAAGAUAGUGGUCUACCAGAGAGGGCACAUGUGCCUCAAUUGGCCUAUAGCAUAGCGACUCAUUAUCCUUCCACCGCUGGUGGCGGGCGGUACUCGCUGCUCUGUGAAGCCAGCCUCACGCAAUGUCCGCCACUUUAGGUGUUGGGAUGCAAAGGCUUUCGCCAAGGCAUCCGAAACCCACUACACAACUUGGAAUGGGUGGUCCACAGUUUGUAGCACUAGACCCAGGCACAUGCACCACAAUUGACAUCCACACUACCUUAUUGCCCCCGCUCGGGUUACAAGCAAUCGCUACUUGCUCAGCGAGUGAGGGGGUUCAAGACUACCUAUUUAAGGUGGUGUUGUACUCUAUAAGCCGGCGGUGUGGUAUUUACCAACUACAAAUAGUGUCAUGCAUGUGACUUGCUAGUUGACAAUGUCUGUUGUCGAGCUAGAUGUGGGCUACGGAUGAAGCACAUUAUGAUAUAGUAGGCCUAUUUUGUUUUUUGUUGUUUUUGGGCCACUAUGGACUUUAUGUUGAUGUUGUGAAAUUUUUUCUUGUGUUUCCUCUUCCUACGAUGUGGAAAGUGGGUGUGUUAGAGAAGAAAGAAAGAGUGGCUAGCAUUGAUUUUACGUCAUACCAUUGAGAACACUAAUCAGAAGCAGAAGCAACAAUAUUUCAUACAUAUACAACACUUGUAAUCCAUAUAAACAACUUUCCUUUAAAAUAUAAUAUAAACCACAUGAUUUAUAUCCUGGGUCGGCUAUCUCCACAAAGGGCAAGAAAACGCUCCAAGUUUGUAGUAUAGAACUAAAAGUGUCGAUUCUCACGAUUUCUUCCCGACAUAUACAAACUAGACAGUAAUCACAUAAAAUAAAGAAAUAUGUGUUAACACAAACUUAUAGCAUGUAUUUCAACAUAUAGAUUGUUGAUUAUUAUGGUAGAUUAUAUAAAAUAGAGGUUCCCGAAGAAAUACAUAAAAACAAGAGCAUUAAAAUUUCCAUUUCAGAUCUGGCUAUCUGGUAAAAGGAGUUGGAGUAACUGAGUUUCCAAAUUUGUGACGUAGCUCUAUAGAAGGAAUAUAAAUACGUUGGAAAAAUUCUACAAGGAAAGGUUUAAUACAAGUAGGGCUAAGAAAAACUCAAUGAGGCUUUGGUCGCAUGGUCACAAAACUUGAGACAAGAAACACGAAGACACCAAGGUAAUUAGUAUGAGAGUUUUCCAAAUUUGGUGUCUUGAUGUAGAAAAAAUAAAUAUAUGACAAACUUGUUUUUUCGCAAGGCAUGGAUAAAUAAGUGGGGGCGAGCAAUAAAUUUCAUCCUAGAUUUAGAAGGAAUAAAUAUAUCACUAAAUACGUUUUUUCAUAAUGCCAAGUUCAUCAGGUGGGAGCGAGAAACAAUUCUAGCGAGGUUAGGUUGUACUAGCCCAAAACUACAUACAACAGAGGAAAAAUGAAGAAAAUGAUGGUCUACCAAAUAUGGCGCAUGGGCCUUAAGGUGCACCUAGAGGGAAGUAUAAGAAAUAAAUAUAUAAUAGCCUAUGUUUUUCGCAAUGCAAGGUAAAGUGUAGAUGUGCUCUAACUGGGCUUAGAUUGCAGCGACACAUUAUGCAUCUACAAGGCUUGGUUGCACAUGGAAAAAGAUAGAGAGAGAAAUGUAGACACAGGACGGGGAGAAAAACAUUCAAUGAGACAUGAUUGCACGGACAUAGAACUAGAUAUAAGACAAGAGUUAAAGAAAAAUAAAGGAACUAAAUUUUCUUCUGCACACUCAGCAUGAAUGGAGUUGUAGUAUCUGAGAUCAAAAUUUAAUUUAUUCCAAGAUGCAGAACAAAAACGUGAUACUCGUAAUGGUUACAUAGGAACAAAAGUAGAUAAGAAAAAUAGCAAAAAGAUAGUGGUCUACCAGAGAGGGCACAUGUGCCUCAAUUGGCCUAUAGCAUAGCGACUCAUUAUCCUUCCACCGCUGGUGGCAGGCGGUACUCGCUGCUCUGUGAAGCCAGCCUCACGCAAUGUCCGCCACUUUAGGUGUUGGGAUGCAAAGGCUUUCGCCAAGGCAUCCGAAACCCACUACGCAACUUGGAAUGGGUGGUCCACAGUUUGUAGCACUAGACCCAGGCACAUGCACCACAAUUGACAUCCACACUACCUUAUUGCCCCCGCUCGGGUUACAAGCAAUCGCUACUUGCUCAGCGAGUGAGGGGGUUCAAGACUACCUAUUUAAGGUGGUGUUGUACUCUAUAAGCCGGCGGUGUGGUAUUUACCAACUACAAAUAGUGUCAUGCAUGUGACUUGCUAGUUGACAAUGUCUGUUGUCGAGCUAGAUGUGGGCUAUGGAUGAAACACAUUACGAUAUAGUAGGCCUAUUUUGUUUUUUGUUGUUUUUGGGCCACUAUGGACUUUAUGUUGAUGUUGUGAAAUUUUUUCUUGUGUUUCCUCUUCCUAUGAUGUGGAAAGUGGGUGGGUUAGAGAAGAAAGAAAGAGUGGCUAGCAUUGAUUUUACGUCAUACAAUUGAGAACACUAAUCAGAAGCAGAAGCAACAAUAUUUCAUACAUAUACAACACUUGUAAUCCAUAUAAACAACUUUCCUUUAAAAUAUAAUAUAAACCACAUGAUUUAUAUCCUGGGUCGGCUAUCUCCACAAAGGGCAAGAAAACGCUCCAAGUUUGUAGUAUAGAACUAAAAGUGUCGAUUCUCACGAUUUCUUCCCGACAUAUACAAACUAGACAGUAAUCACAUAAAAUAAAGAAAUAUGUGUUAACACGAACUUAUAGCAUGUAUUUCAACAUAUAGAUUGCUGAUUAUUAUGGUUGAUUAUAUAAAAUAGGGGUUCCCGAAGAAAUACAUAAAAACAAGAGCAUUAAAAUUUCCUUUUCAGAUCUGGCUAUCUGGUAAAAGGAGUUGGAGUAACUGAGUUUCCAAAUUUGUGACGUAGCUCUAUAGAAGGAAUAUAAAUACGUUGGAAAAAUUCUACAAGGAAAGGUUUAAUACAAGUAGGGCUAAGAAAAACUCAAUGAGGCUUUGGUCGCAUGGUCACAAAACUUGAGACAAGAAACACGAAGACACCAAGGUAAUUAGUAUGAGAGUUUUCCAAAUUUGGUGUCUUGAUGUAGAAAAAAUAAAUAUAUGACAAACUUGUUUUUUCGCAAGGCAUGGAUAAAUAAGUGGGGGUGAGCAAUAAAUUUCAUCCUAGAUUUAGAAGGAAUAAAUAUAUCACUAAAUACGUUUUUUACAAUGCCAAGUUAAUUAGGUGGGAGCGAGAAACAAUUCUAGCGAGGCUAGGUUGUACUAGCCCAAAACUACAUACAACAGAGGAAGAAUGAAGAAAAUGAUGGUCUACCAAAUAUGGCACAUGAGCCUUAAGGUGCACCUAGAGGGAAGUAGAAGAAUAAAUAUAUAAUAGCAUAUGUUUUUCGCAAUGCAAGGUAAAGUGUAGAUGUGCUCUAACUGGGCUUAGAUUGCAGCGACACAUUAUGCAUCUACAAGGCUUCGUUGCACAUGGAAAAAGAUAGAGAGAGAAAUGUAGACGCAGGACCGGGAGAAAAACAUUCAAUGAGACGUGAUUGCACGGACAUAGAACUAAGUAUAAGACAAGAGUUAAAGAAAAAAGGAACUAAAUUUUCUUGUGCACACUAAGCAUGAAUGGAGUUGUAGUAUCUGAGAUCAAAAUUUAAUUUAUUCCAAGAUGCAGAACAAAAACGUGAUACUCGUAAUGGUUACAUAGGAACAAAAGUAGAUAAGAAAAAUAGCAAAAAGAUAUUGGUCUACCAGAGAGGGCACAUGUGCCUCAAUUGGCCUAUAGCAUAGUGGCUCAUUAUCCUUCCACCGCUGGUGGCGGGCGGUACUCGCUGCUCUGUGAAGCCAGCCUCACGCAAUGUCCGCCACUUUAGGUGUUGGGAUGCAAAGGCUUUCGCCAAGGCAUCCGAAACCCACUACACAACUUGGAAUGGGUGGUCCACAGUUUGUAGCAAUAGACCCAGGCACAUGCACCACAAUUGACAUUCACACUACCUUAUUGCCCCCGCUCGGGUUACAAGCAAUCGCUACUUGCUCAGCGAGUGAGGGGGUUCAAGACUACCUAUUUAAGGUGGUGUUGUACUGUAUGAGCCGGCGGUGUGGUAUUUACCAACUACAAAUAGUGUCAUGCAUGUGACUUGCUAGUUGACAAUGUCUAUUGUCGAGCUAGAUGUGGGCUAUAGAUGAAGCACAUUAGGAUAUAGUAGGCCUAUUUUGUUUUUUGUUGUUUUUGGGCCACUAUGGACUUUAUGUUGAUGUUGUGAAAUUUUUUCUUGUGUUUCCUCUUCCUACGAUGUGGAAAGUGGGUGCUUCAGAGAAGAAAGAAAGAGUGGCUAGCAUUGAUUUUACGUCAUACCAUUGAGAACACUAAUCAGAAGCAGAAGCAACAAUAUUUCAUACAUAUACAACACUUGUAAUCCAUAUAAACAACUUUCCUUUCAAAUAUAAUAUAAACCACAUGAUUUAUAUCCUGGGUCGGCUAUCUCCACAAAGGGCAAGAAAACGCUCCAAGUUUGUAGUAUAGCACUAAAAGUGUCGACUCUCACGAUUUCUUCCCGACAUAUGCAAACUAGACAGUAAUCACAUAAAAUAAAGAAAUAUGUGUUAACACAAACUUAUAGCAUGUAUUUCAACAUAUAGAUUUUUGAUUAUUAUGGUAGAUUAUAUAAUAUAGGGGUUCCCGAAAAAAUACAUAAAAAACAAGAGCAUUAAAAUUUCCUUUUCAGAUCUGGCUAACUGGUAAAGGGAGUUGGAGUAUCUGAGUUUCCAAAUUUGGGACGUCGCUCUAUAGAAGGAAUAUAAAUACAUUGGAAAAAAUUCUACAAGGAAAGGUUUAAUACAAGUAGCGCUAAGAAAAACUCAAUGAGGCUUUGGUCGCUUGGUCACAAAACUUGAGACAAGAAACACGAAGACACCAAGGUAAUUAGUAUGAGAGUUUUCCAAAUUUGGUGUCUUGAUGUAGAAAAAAUAAAUAUAUGACAAACUUGUUUUUUCGCAAGGCAUGGAUAAAUAAGUGGGGGUGAGCAAUAAAUUUCAUCCUAGAUUUAGAAGGAAUAAAUAUAUCACUAAAUACGUUUUUUCACAAUGCCAAGUUAAUCAGGUGGGAGCGAGAAACAAUUCUAGCGAGGCUAGGUUGUACUAGCCCAAAACUACAUACAACAGAGGAAAAAUAAAGAAAAUGAUGGUCUACCAAAUAGGGCGCAUGAGCCUUAAGGUGCACCUAGAGGGAAGUAGAAGAAAUAAAUAUAUAAUAGCAUAUGUUUUUCGCAAUGCAAGGUAAAGUGUAGAUGUGCUCUAACUGGGCUUAGAUUGCAGCGACACAUUAUGCAUCUACAAGGCUUGGUUGCACAUGGAAAAAGAUAGAGAGAGAAAUGUAGACGCAGGACCGGGAGAAAAACAUUCAAUGAGACGUGAUUGCACGGACAUAGAACUAGAUAUAAGACAAGAGUUAAAGAAAAAUAAAGGAACUAAAUUUUCUUCUGCACACUAAGCAUGAAUGGAGUUGUAGUAUCUGAGAUCAAAAUUUAAUUUAUUCCAAGAUGCAGAACAAAAACGUGAUACUCGUAAUGGUUACAUAGGAACAAAAGUAGAUAAGAAAAAUAGCAAAAAGAUAGUGGUCUACCAGAGAGGGCACAUGUGCCUCAAUUGGCCUAUAGCAUAGCGACUCAUUAUCCUUCCACCGCUGGUGGCGGGCGGUACUCGCUGCUCUGUGAAGCCAGCCUCACGCAAUGUCCGCCACUUUAGGUGUUGGGAUGCAAAGGCUUUCGCCAAGGCAUCCGAAACCCACUACACAACUUGGAAUGGGUGGUCCACAGUUUGUAGCACUAGACCCAGGCACAUGCACCACAAUUGACAUCCACACUACCUUAUUGCCCCCGCUCGGGUUACAAGCAAUCGCUACUUGCUCAGCGAGUGAGGGGGUUCAAGACUACCUAUUUAAGGUGGUGUUGUACUCUAUGAGCCGGCGGUGUGGUAUUUACCAACUACAAAUAGUGUCAUGCAUGUGACUUGCUAGUUGACAAUGUCUGUUGUCAAGCUAGGUGUGGGCUAUGGAUGAAGCACAUUAGGAUAUAGUAGGCCUAUUUUGUUUUUUGUUGUUUUUGGGCCACUAUGGACUGUAUGUUGAUGUUGUGAAAUUUUUUUCUUGUGUUUCCUCUUCCUACGAUGUGGAAAGUGGGUGCGUCAGAGAAGAAAGAAAGAGUGGCUAGCAUUGAUUUUACGUCAUACCAUUGAGAACACUAAUCAGAAGCAGAAGCAACAAUAUUUCAUACAUAUACAACACUUGUAAUCCAUAUAAACAACAUUCCUUUAAAAUAUAAUAUAAACCACAUGAUUUAUAUCCUGGGUCGGCUAUCUCCACAAAGGGCAAGAAAACGCUCCAAGUUUGUAGUAUAGCACUAAAAGUGUCGAUUCUCACGAUUUCUUCCCGACAUAUACAAACUAGACAGUAAUCACAUAAAAUAAAGAAAUAUGUGUUAACACGAACUUAUAACAUGUAUUUCAACAUAUAGAUUGUUGAUUAUUAUGGUAGAUUAUAUAAAAUAGGGGUUCCCGAAGAAAUACAUAAAAACAAGAGCAUUAAAAUUUCCUUUUCAGAUCUGGCUAUCUGGUAAAAGGAGUUGGAGUAACUGAGUUUCCAAAUUUGUGACGUAGCUCUAUAGAAGGAAUAUAAAUACGUUGGAAAAAUUCUAUAAGGAAAGGUUUAAUACAAGUAGGGCUAAGAAAAACUCAAUGAGGCUUUGGUCGCAUGGUCACAAAACUUGAGACAAGAAACACGAAGACACCAAGGUAAUUAGUAUGAGAGUUUUCCAAAUUUGGUGUCUUGAUGUAGAAAAAAUAAAUAUAUGACAAACUUGUUUUUUCGCAAGGCAUGGAUAAAUAAGUGGGGGUGAGCAAUAAAUUUCAUCCUAGAUUUAGAAGGAAUAAAUAUAUCACUAAAUAUGUUUUUUCACAAUGCCAAGUUAAUCAGGUGGGAGCGAGAAACAAUUCUAGCGAGGCUAGGUUGUACUAGCCCAAAACUACAUACAACAGAGGAAAAAUGAAGAAAAUGAUGGUCUACCAAAUAUGGCGCAUGAGCCUUAAGGUGCACCUAGAGGGAAGUAGAAGAAAUAAAUAUAUAAUAGCAUAUGUUUUUCGCAAUGCAAGGUAAAGUGUAGAUGUGCUCUAACUGGGCUUAGAUUGCAGCGACACAUUAUGCAUCUACAAGGCUUGGUUGCACAUGGAAAAAGAUAGAGAGAGAAAUGUAGACGCAGGACCGGGAGAAAAACAUUCAACGAGACGUGAUUGCACGGACAUAGAACUAGAUAUAAGACAAGAGUUAAAGAAAAAUAAAGGAACUAAAUUUUCUUCUGCACACUAAGCAUGAAUGGAGUUGUAGUAUCUGAGAUCAAAAUUUAAUUUAUUCCAAGAUGCAGAACAAAAACGUGAUACUCGUAAUGGUUACAUAGGAACAUAAGUAGAUAAGAAAAAUAGCAAAAAGAUAGUGGUCUACCAGAGAGGGCACAUGUGCCUCAAUUGGCCUAUAGCAUAGCGACUCAUUAUCCUUCCACCGCUGGUGGCGGGCGGUACUCGCUGCUCUGUGAAGCCAGCCUCACGCAAUGUCUGCCACUUUAGGUGUUGGGAUGCAAAGGCUUUCGCCAAGGCAUCCGAAACCCACUACACAACUUGGAAUGGGUGGUCCACAGUUGGUAGCACUAGACCCAGGCACAUGCACCACAAUUGACAUCCACACUACCUUAUUGCCCCCGCUCGGGUUACAAGCAAUCGCUACUUGCUCAGCGAGUGAGGGGGUUCAAGACUACCUAUUUAAGGUGGUGUUGUACUCUAUGAGCCGGUGGUGUGGUAUUUACCAACUACAAAUAGUGUCAUGCAUGUGACUUGCUAGUUGACAAUGUCUGUUGUCAAGCUAGGUGUGGGCUAUGGAUGAAGCACAUUAGGAUAUAGUAGGCCUAUUUUGUUUUUUGUUGUUUUUGGGCCACUAUGGACUUUAUGUUGAUGUUGUGAAUUUUUUUUCUUGUGUUUCCUCUUCCUACAAUGUGGAAAGUGGGUGCGUCAGAGAAGAAAGAAAGAGUGGCUAGCAUUGAUUUUACGUCAUACCAUUGAGAACACUAAUCAGAAGCAGAAGCAACAAUAUUUCAUACAUAUACAACACUUGUAAUCCAUAUAAACAACAUUCCUUUAAAAUAUAAUAUAAACCACAUGAUUUAUAUCCUGGGUCGGCUAUCUCCACAAAGGGCAAGAAAACGCUCCAAGUUUGUAGUAUAGCACUAAAAGUGUCGAUUCUCACGAUUUCUUCCCGACAUAUACAAACUAGACAGUAAUCACAUAAAAUAAAGAAAUAUGUGUUAACACGAACUUAUAGCAUGUAUUUCAACAUAUAGAUUGUUGAUUAUUAUGGUAGAUUAUAUAAAAUAGGGGUUCCCGAAGAAAUACAUAAAAACAAGAGCAUUAAAAUUUCCUUUUCAGAUCUGGCUAUCUGGUAAAAGGAGUUGGAGUAACUGAGUUUCCAAAUUUGUGACGUAGCUCUAUAGAAGGAAUAUAAAUACGUUGGAAAAAUUCUAUAAGGAAAGGUUUAAUACAAGUAGGGCUAAGAAAAACUCAAUGAGGCUUUGGUCGCAUGGUCACAAAACUUGAGACAAGAAACACGAAGACACCAAGGUAAUUAGUAUGAGAGUUUUCCAAAUUUGGUGUCUUGAUGUAGAAAAAAUAAAUAUAUGACAAACUUGUUUUUCGCAAGGCAUGGAUAAAUAAGUGGGGGUGAGCAAUAAAUUUCAUCCUAGAUUUAGAAGGAAUAAAUAUAUCACUUAAUAUGUUUUUUCACAAUGCCAAGUUAAUCAGGUGGGAGCGAGAAACAAUUCUAGCGAGGCUAGGUUGUACUAGCCCAAAACUACAUACAACAGAGGAAAAAUGAAGAAAAUGAUGGUCUACCAAAUAUGGUGCAUGAGCCUUAAGGUGCACCUAGAGGGAAGUAGAAGAAAUAAAUAUAUAAUAGCAUAUGUUUUUCGCAAUGCAAGGUAAAGUGUAGAUGUGCUCUAACUGGGCUUAGAUUGCAGCGACACAUUAUGCAUCUACAAGGCUUGGUUGCACAUGGAAAAAGAUAGAGAGAGAAAUGUAGACGCAAGACCGGGAGAAAAACAUUCAAUGAGACGUGAUUGCACGGACAUAGAACUAGAUAAAAGACAAGAGUUAAAGAAAAAUAAAGGAACUAAAUUUUCUUCUGCACACUAAGCAUGAAUGGAGUUGUAGUAUCUGAGAUCAAAAUUUAAUUUAUUCCAAGAUGCAGAACAAAAACGUGAUACUCGUAAUGGUUACAUAGGAACAUAAGUAGAUAAGAAAAAUAGCAAAAAGAUAGUGGUCUACCAGAGAGGGCACAUGUGCCUCAAUUGGCCUAUAGCAUAGCGACUCAUUAUCCUUCCACCGCUGGUGGCGGGCGGUACUCGCUGCUCUGUGAAGCCAGCCUCACGCAAUGUCCGCCACUUUAGGUGUUGGGAUGCAAAGGCUUUUGCCAAGGCAUCCGAAACCCACUACACAACUUGGAAUGGGUGGUCCACAGUUUGUAGCACUAGACCCAGGCACAUGCACCACAAUUGACAUCCACACUACCUUAUUGCCCCCGCUCGGGUUACAAGCAAUCGCUACUUGCUCAACGAGUGAGGGGGUUCAAGACUACCUAUUUAAGGUGGUGUUGUACUCUAUGAGCCGGCGGUGUGGUAUUUACCAACUACAAAUAGUGUCAUGCAUGUGACUUGCUAGUUGACAAUGUCUGUUGUCAAGCUAGGUGUGGGCUAUGGAUGAAGCACAUUAGGAUAUAGUAGGCCUAUUUUGUUUUUUGUUGUUUUUGGGCCACUAUGGACUUUAUGUUGAUGUUGUGAAUUUUUUUUCUUGUGUUUCCUCUUCCUACGAUGUGGAAAGUGGGUGCGUCAGAGAAGAAAGAAAGAGUGGCUAGCAUUGAUUUUACGUCAUACCAUUGAGAACACUAAUCAGAAGCAGAAGCAACAAUAUUUCAUACAUAUACAACACUUGUAAUCCAUAUAAACAACAUUCCUUUAAAAUAUAAUAUAAACCACAUGAUUUAUAUCCUGGGUCAGCUAUCUCCACAAAGGGCAAGAAAACGCUCCAAGUUUGUAGUAUAGCACUAAAAGUGUCGAUUCUCACGAUUUCUUCCCGACAUAUACAAACUAGACAGUAAUCACAUAAAAUAAAGAAAUAUGUGUUAACACGAACUUAUAGCAUGUAUUUCAACAUAUAGAUUGUUGAUUAUUAUGGUAGAUUAUAUAAAAUAGGGGUUCCCGAAGAAAUACAUAAAAACAAGAGCAUUAAAAUUUCCUUUUCAGAUCUGGCUAACUGGUAAAGGGAGUUGGAGUAUCUGAGUUUCCAAAUUUGGGACGUCGCUCUAUAGAAGGAAUAUAAAUACAUUGGAAAAAAUUCUACAAGGAAAGGUUUAAUACAAGUAGCGCUAAGAAAAACUCAAUGAGGCUUUGGUCGCUUGGUCACAAAACUUGAGACAAGAAACACGAAGACACCAAGGUAAUUAGUAUGAGAGUUUUCCAAAUUUGGUGUCUUGAUGUAGAAAAAAUAAAUAUAUGACAAACUUGUUUUUUCGUAAGGCAUGGAUAAAUAAGUGGGGGUGAGCAAUAAAUUUCAUCCUAGAUUUAGAAGGAAUAAAUAUAUCACUAAAUAGGUUUUUUCACAAUGCCAAGUUAAUCAGGUGGGAGCGAGAAACAAUUCUAGCGAGGCUAGGUUGUACUAGCCCAAAACUACAUACAACAGAGGAAAAAUGAAGAAAAUGAUGGUCUACCAAAUAUGGCGCAUGAGCCUUAAGGUGCACCUAGAGGGAAGUAGAAGAAAUAAAUAUAUAAUGGCAUAUGUUUAUCGCAAUGCAAGGUAAAGUGUAGAUGUGCUCUAACUGGGCUUAGAUUGCAGCGACACAUUAUGCAUCUACAAGGCUUGGUUGCACAUGGAAAAAGAUAGAGAGAGAAAUGUAGAUGCAGGACCGGGUGAAAAACAUUCAAUGAGACGUGAUUGCACGGACAUAGAACUAGAUAUAAGACAAGAGUUAAAGAAAAAUAAAGGAACUAAAUUUUCUUCUGCACACUAAGCAUGAAUGGAGUUGUAGUAUCUGAGAUCAAAAUUUAAUUUAUUCCAAGAUGCAGAACAAAAAUGUGAUACUCGUAAUGGUUACAUAGGAGCAAAAGUAGAUAAGAAAAAUAGCAAAAAGAUAGUGGUCUACCAGAGAGGGCACAUGUGCCUCAAUUGUCUUAUAGCAUAGCGACUCAUUAUCCUUCCACCGCUGGUGGCGGGCGGUACUCGCUGCUCUGUGAAGCCAGCCUCACGCAAUGUCCGCCACUUUAGGUGUUGGGAUGCAAAGACUUUCGCCAAGGCAUCCGAAACCCACUACACAACUUGGAAUGGGUGGUCCACUGUUUGUAGCACUAGACCCAGGCACAUGCACCACAAUUGACAUCCACACUACCUUAUUGCCCCGCUCGGGUUACAAGCAAUCGCUACUUGCUCAGCGAGUGAGGGGGUUCAAGACUACCUAUUUAAGGUGGUGUUGUACUCUAUGAGCCGGCGGUGUGGUAUUUACCAACUACAAAUAGUGUCAUGCAUGUGACUUGCUAGUUGACAAUGUCUGUUGUCAAGCUAGGUGUGGGCUAUGGAUGAAGCACAUUAGGAUAUAGUAGGCCUAUUUUGUUUUUUGUUGUUUUUGGGCCACUAUGGACUUUAUGUUGAUGUUGUGAAAUUUUUUUCUUGUGUUUCCUCUUCCUACGAUGUGGAAAGUGGGUGCGUCAGAGAAGAAAGAAAGAGUGGCUAGCAUUGAUUUUACGUCAUACCAUUGAGAACACUAAUCAGAAGCAGAAGCAACAAUAUUUCAUACAUAUACAACACUUGUAAUCCAUAUAAACAACAUUCCUUUAAAAUAUAAUAUAAACCACAUGAUUUAUAUCCUGGGUCGGCUAUCUCCACAAAGGGCAAGAAAACGCUCCAAGUUUGUAGUAUAGCACUAAAAGUGUCGAUUCUCACGAUUUCUUCCCGACAUAUACAAACUAGACAGUAAUCACAUAAAAUAAAGAAAUAUGUGUUAACACGAACUUAUAGCAUGUAUUUCAACAUAUAGAUUUUUGAUUAUUAUGGUAGAUUAUAUAAAAUAGGGGUUCCCGAAGAAAUACAUAAAAACAAGAGCAUUAAAAUUUCCUUUUCAGAUCUGGCUAUCUGGUAAAAGGAGUUGGAGUAACUGAGUUUCCAAAUUUGUGACGUAGCUCUAUAGAAGGAAUAUAAAUACGUUGGAAAAAUUCUAUAAGGAAAGGUUUAAUACAAGUAGGGCUAAGAAAAACUCAAUGAGGCUUUGGUCGCAUGGUCACAAAACUUGAGACAAGAAACACGAAGACACCAAGGUAAUUAGUAUGAGAGUUUUCCAAAUUUGGUGUCUUGAUGUAGAAAAAAUAAAUAUAUGACAAAUUUGUUUUUUCGCAAGGCAUGGAUAAAUAAGUGGGGGUGAGCAAUAAAUUUCAUCCUAGAUUUAGAAGGAAUAAAUAUAUCACUAAAUACAUUUUUUCACAAUGCCAAAUUAAUCAGGUGGGAGCGAGAAACAAUUGUAGCGAGGCUAGGUUGUACUAGCCCAAAACUACAUACAACAGAGGAAAAAUGAAGAAAAUGAUGGUCUACCAAAUAUGGCGCAUGAGCCUUAAGGUGCACCUAGAGGGAAGUAGAAGAAAUAAAUAUAUAAUAGCAUAUGUUUUUCGCAAUGCAUGGUAAAGUGUAGAUGUGCUCUAACUGGGCUUAGAUUGCAGCGACACAUUAUGCAUCUACAAGGCUUGGUUGCACAUGGAAAAAGAUACAAAAAGAAAUGUAGACGCAGGACCGGGAGAAAAACAUUCAAUGAGACGUGAUUGCACGGACAUAGAACUAGAUAUAAGACAAGAGUUAAAGAAAAAUAAAGGAACUAAAUUUUCUUCUGCACACUAAGCAUGAAUGGAGUUGUAGUAUCUGAGAUCAAAAUUUAAUUUAUUCCAAGAUGCAGAACAAAAAUUUGAUACUCGUAAUGGUUACAUAGGAGCAAAAGUAGAUAAGAAAAAUAGCAAAAAGAUAGUGGUCUACCAGAGAGGGCACAUGUGCCUCAAUUGGCCUAUAGCAUAGCGACUCAUUAUCCUUCCACCGCUGGUGGCGGGCGGUACUCGCUGCUCUGUGAAGCCAGCCUCACACAAUGUCCGCCACUUUAGGUGUUGGGAUGCAAAGGCUUUCGCCAAGGCAUCCGAAACCCACUACACAACUUGGAAUGGGUGGUCCACUGUUUGUAGCACUAGACCCAGGCACAUGCACCACAAUUGACAUCCACACUACCUUAUUGCCCCGCUCGGGUUACAAGCAAUCGCUACUUGCUCAGCGAGUGAGGGGGUUCAAGACUACCUAUUUAAGGUGGUGUUGUACUCUAUGAGCCGGCGGUGUGGUAUUUACCAACUACAAAUAGUGUCAUGCAUGUGACUUGCUAGUUGACAAUGUCUGUUGUCAAGCUAGGUGUGGGCUAUGGAUGAAGCACAUUAGGAUAUAGUAGGCCUAUUUUGUUUUUUGUUGUUUUUGGGCCACUAUGGACUUUAUGUUGAUGUUGUGAAAUUUUUUUCUUGUGUUUCCUCUUCCUACGAUGUGGAAAGUGGGUGCGUCAGAGAAGAAAGAAAGAGUGGCUAGCAUUGAUUUUACGUCAUACCAUUGAGAACACUAAUCAGAAGCAGAAGCAACAAUAUUUCAUACAUAUACAACACUUGUAAUCCAUAUAAACAACAUUCCUUUAAAAUAUAAUAUAAACCACAUGAUUUAUAUCCUGGGUCGGCUAUCUCCACAAAGGGCAAGAAAACGCUCCAAGUUUGUAGUAUAGCACUAAAAGUGUCGAUUCUCACGAUUUCUUCCCGACAUAUACAAACUAGACAGUAAUCACAUAAAAUAAAGAAAUAUGUGUUAACACAAACUUAUAGCAUGUAUUUCAACAUAUAGAUUGUUGAUUAUUAUGGUAGAUUAUAUAAAAUAGGGGUUCCCGAAGAAAUACAUAAAAACAAGAGCAUUAAAAUUUCCUUUUCAGAUCUGGCUAUCUGGUAAAAGGAGUUGGAGUAACUGAGUUUCCAAAUUUGUGACGUAGCUCUAUAGAAGGAAUAUAAAUACGUUGGAAAAAUUCUAUAAGGAAAGGUUUAAUACAAGUAGGGCUAAGAAAAACUCAAUGAGGCUUUGGUCGCAUGGUCACAAAACUUGAGACAAGAAACACGAAGACACCAAGGUAAUUAGUAUGAGAGUUUUCCAAAUUUGGUGUCUUGAUGUAGAAAAAAUAAAUAUAUGACAAAUUUGUUUUUUCGCAAGGCAUGGAUAAAUAGGUGGGGGUGAGCAAUAAAUUUCAUCCUAGAUUUAGAAGGAAUAAAUAUAUCACUAAAUAUGUUUUUUCACAAUGCCAAGUUAAUCAGGUGGGAGCGAGAAACAAUUCUAGCGAGGCUAGGUUGUACUAGCCCAAAACUACAUACAACAGAGGAAAAAUGAAGAAAAUGAUGGUCUACCAAAUAUGGCGCAUGAGCCUUAAGGUGCACCUAGAGGGAAGUAGAAGAAAUAAAUAUAUAAUAGCAUAUAUUUUUCGCAAUGCAUGGUAAAGUGUAGAUGUGCUCUAACUGGGCUUAGAUUGCAGCGACACAUUAUGCAUCUACAAGGCUUGGUUGCACAUGGAAAAAGAUACAGAAAGAAAUGUAGACGCAGGACCGGGAGAAAAACAUUCAAUGAGACGUGAUUGCACAGACAUAGAACUAGAUAUAAGACAAGAGUUAAAGAAAAAUAAAGGAACUAAAUUUUCUUCUGCACACUAAGCAUGAAUGGAGUUGUAGUAUCUGAGAUCAAAAUUUAAUUUAUUCCAAGAUGCAGAACAAAAAUGUGAUACUCGUAAUGGUUACAUAGGAACAAAAGUAGUUAAGAAAAAUAGCAAAAAGAUAGUGGUCUACCAGAGAGGGCACAUGUGCCUCAAUUGGCCUAUAGCAUAGCGACUCAUUAUCCUUCCACCGCUGGUGGCGGGCGGUACUCGCUGCUCUGUGAAGCCAGCCUCACGCAAUGUCCGCCACUUUAGGUGUUGGGAUGCAAAGGCUUUCGCCAAGGCAUCCGAAACCCACUACACAACUUGGAAUGGGUGGUCCACAGUUUGUAGCACUAGACCCAGGCACAUGCACCACAAUUGACAUCCACACUACCUUAUUGCCCCCGCUCGGGUUACAAGCAAUCGCUACUUGCUCAGCGAGUGAGGGGGGGUCAAGACUACCUAUUUAAGGUGGUGUUGUACUCUAUGAGCAGGCGGUCUGGUAUUUACCAACUACAAAUAGUGUCAUGCAUGUGACUUGCUAGUUGACAAUGUCUGUUGUCGAGUUAGAUGUGGGCUAUGGAUGAAGCACAUUAGGAUAUAGUAGGCCUAUUUUGUUUUUUGUUGUUUUUGGGCCACUAUGGACUUUCUGUUGAUGUUGUGAAAUUUUUUCUUGUGUUUCCUCUUCCUACGAUGUGGAAAGUGGGUGCGUCAGAGAAGAAAGAAAGAGUGGCUAGCAUUGAUUUUACGUCAUACCAUUGAGAACACUAAUUAGAAGCAGAAGCAACAAUAUUUCAUACAUAUACAACACUUGUAAUCCAUAUAAACAACUUUCCUUUAAAAUAUAAUAUAAACCACAUGAUUUAUAUCCUGGGUCGGCUAUCUCUACAAAGGGCGAGAAAACGCUCCAAGUUUGUAGUAUAGAACUAAAAGUGUCGAUUCUCAUGAUUUUUCCGACAUAUACAAACUAGACAGUAAUCACAUAAAAUAAAGAAAUAUGUGUUAACACGAACUUAUAGCAUGUAUUUCAACAUACAUAUUGUUGAUUAUUAUGGUAGAUUAUAUAAAAUAGGGGUUCCCGAAGAAAUACAUAAAAACAAGAGCAUUAAAAUUUCCUUUUUAGAUCUGGCUAUCUGGUAAAAGGAGUUGGAGUAACUGAGUUUCCAAAUUUGUGACGUAGCUCUAUAGAAGGAAUAUAAAUACGUUGCAAAAAUUCUACAAGGAAAGGUUAAUACAAGUAGGGCUAAGAAAAACUCAAUUAGGCUUUGGUCGCAUGGUCACAAAACUUGAGACAAGAAACACGAAGACACCAAGGUAAUUAGUAUGAGAGUUUUCGAAAUUUGGUGUCUUGAUGUAGAAAAAAUAAAUAUAUGACAAACUUGUUUUUUCUCAAGGCAUGGAUUGAGAGCACCUAGAGGGGGGGGUGAAUAGGUGAUCCUGUGAAACUUGAAAACUUAAGCCACAAAACUUGGUUAAUCGUUAGCACAAUAAUUGCCAAGUGGCUAAAUAGGAAUCCUCAACAAAAUACAAUAACCAACAAAGAUCAAUCACAGAGAUGACACGGUGGUUAUCCCAUGGUUCGGCCAAGACCAACGCUUGCCUACUCCAUGUUGUGGCGUCCCAACGGACGAGGGUUGCAAUCAACCCCUCUCAAGCGGUCCAAAGACCCACUUGAAUACCACGGUGUUUUGCUUUGCUUAUCUUUAUCCCACUUGCGAGGAAUCUCCACAAAUUGGAGUCUCUCGCCCUUACACUUAAAGUUCACAAAGAAGCACGGAGUAAGGGAGGGAAGCAACACACACAAAUCCACAGCAAAAUGCGCACACACACGGCCAAGAAUCGAGCUCAAAAGACUAUCUCAAAGUUCUCACUAGAACGGAGCUCGAAUCACUGAGAAUGACAAACGAAUGCGCAAAGACUGAGUGUGGAUGAUCAAGAAUGCUCUAAGGUUGCUUGGUUUUUCUCCUCCAUGCGCCUAGGGGUCCCUUUUAUAGCCCCAAGGCGGCUAGGAGCCGUUGAGAACAAAUCUGGAAGGCCAUCCUUGCCUUCUGUCGUCGGGCGCACCGGACAGUCCGGUGCACACCGGACACUGUCCGGUGCCCGAUUUCCUUCCUUAAAUGGCGAAGCCGACCGUUGCAGAUGUGGGAGCCGUUGGCGCACCGGACAUGUCCGGUGCACACCGGACAGUCCGGUGCCCCCUUCCGACCGUUGGCUCGGCCACGUGUCGCGCGCGGAUUCCGUGGCCGACCGUUGGCCCGGCCGACCGUUGGCUCACCGGACAGUCCGGUGCACACCGGACAGUCCGGUGAAUUUUAGGCGUACGUCGCCGGUGAAUUCCCGAGAGCGGCCAGUUCGCUCGAGCCAGCCUGGCGCACCGGACACAGUCCGGUGCACCACCGGACAGUCCGGUGCCCCAGACCGAAACAGCCUCUUGGCUGUACACAGCCAACUCUUCUCUUUCCUUCUUCUUUUUGUUUCUGAUACUUAGACAAGUAUAUUAGUACACAAAACCAAUGUACUAAGACUUAGAAACAUACCUUUGCUCUUGAUUUGCACUUUGUCCAUUCAUGGGCAUAGAUUUACAUUUAAUUACUUGUGUUGGCACUCAAUCACCAAAAUACUUAGAAAUGGCCCAAGGGCACAUUUCCCUUUCAAUCUCCCCCUUUUUGGUGAUUUAUGCCAACACAACAUAAAGCAACUAGAACAAGUGCAAUAUUACUUCAAAUAAAAACUCAAAUUCAUUUUGAUUCAAUUUGGCAUAUAUGGAUCAUCCUUUGCCACCACUUGGUUUGUUUUUGCAAAUCAAACUCAAAAUCCUAUCUCUAAGUCAAAUCCACUUGUAGAGACAUAAAGAGAGGUUUUCCAUAGAAGAUUGAUUCAAGAUUCCAAAAACUCCCCCUUUUUCCCAUAAUCAACACUUCACCCCACAAGAGGCCAACUUUUGAUAAAAGAGACAAUGCAAGAGUAUUGACAAACCAAAAGCUCUAUCCUACUGUUUUCAAAGUUUCUCAAGUGGUAGCUGAUCCAUUUAUUGCUUUGGCCUUUAUUUUCUCCCCCUUUGGCGUCAAGCACCAAAACGGGAUCAAUCUUGGCCCUUUAACCCCAUUGCCUCACCAAAAUCUUCAAUUAAGAGCAAAUAGGCAAUAAGAGUUAAAAGAUGAACUUGGAAAAGUUACUCUUUUCAUCGGAGUGCAGUGGAAGUCUUGCAUGGUCCAAGUCCACCUUUUCCCUUUUAAUUCUCCUUCGAGACUAAAACAAGCAAACUCAAGCAUAUGGUUAGUCUCAAAGGGUCAAGUUGUAACACAUCUCCCCCUAAAACUGUGCAUCACUUUGCAACGGACUUGUGAGGUCCAGGGAGUGUUUGUACAACUUGAGCACCAUACUAAACAACAAAAUGCAAAAAGGAUCAUGAUCAAAAGCAUAAAUACAUGUAUGCUACAAUUCAAUCCAAGUUCCGCGAAUCUACGACAUUUAGCUCACUACGCAGCCUGCAAAAGGUCUUCUCAUCUAGAGGCUUGGUAAAGAUAUCGGCUAGCUGGUUCUCGGUGCUAACAUGAAACACUUCGAUAUCUCCCUUUUGCUGGUGAUCUCUCAAAAAGUGAUGCCGGAUGUCAAUGUGCUUUGUGCGGCUGUGUUCAACAGGAUUUUCCGCCAUGCGGAUAGCACUCUCAUUGUCACAUAGGAGUGGGACUUUGCUCAGAUUGUAGCCAAAGUCCCUGAGGGUUUGCCUCAUCCAAAGUAGUUGCGCGCAACACUGUCCUGCGGCAACAUACUCGGCCUCAGCGGUGGAUAGGGCAACGGAGGUUUGUUUCUUAGAGUUCCACGACACCAGGGACCUUCCUAAGAAUUGGCACGUCCCUGAUGUACUCUUCCUAUCGACCUUACAUCCAGCAUAGUCGGAAUCUGAGUUUCCAACCAAGUCAAAGGUAGACCCCUUUGGAUACCAGAGCCCGAAGCAAGGCGUAGCAACCAAAUAUCUAAGAAUUCGCUUCACCGCCACUAAGUGACACUCCUUAGGAUUGGAUUGAAAUCUAGCACACAUGCAUACGCUAAGCAUAAUAUCCGGUCUACUAGCACAUAAAUAAAGUAAAGACCCUAUCAUUGACCGGUAUGCUUUUUGAUCAACGGACUUACCUCCUUUGUUGAGGUCGGUGUGUCCGUCGGUCCCCAUCGGAGUCUUUGCGGGCUUGGCGUCCUUCAUCCCAAACCGCUUCAGCAGGUCUUGCGUGUACUUUGUUUGGGAGAUGAAGGUGCCGUCCUUGAGUUGCUUCACUUGAAACCCAAGGAAGUAGUUCAACUCGCCCAUCAUCGACAUCUCGAAUUUCUGCAUCAUAACCCUGCUAAACUCUUCACAAGACUUUUGGUUAGUAGAACCAAAUAUUAUGUCAUCGACAUAAAUUUGGCACACAAACAAAUCACCAUCACAUGUCUUAGUAAAAAGAGUUGGAUCGGCUUUCCCAACCUUGAAGGCAUUUGCAAUUAAAAAGUCUUUAAGGCAUUCAUACCAUGCUCUUGGGGCUUGCUUAAGUCCAUAGAGCGCCUUAGAGAGCUUACACACGUGGUCGGGGUACCGUUCAUCCUCGAAGCCAGGGGGUUGCUCUACGUACACCUCCUCCUUGAUUGGCCCGUUGAGGAAAGCGCUCUUCACAUCCAUUUGGAACAACCUGAAAGAAUGGUGAGCGACAUAUGCUAGCAAGAUACGAAUUGAUUCUAGCCUAGCCACAGGAGCAAACGUCUCCUCAAAGUCCAAACCUGCGACUUGGGCAUAACCUUUUGCCACAAGUCGAGCCUUGUUCCUCGUCACCACCCCGUGCUCGUCCUGUUUGUUGCGGAAUACCCACUUGGUUCCCACAACGUUUUGCUUGGGACGAGGCACCAGUGUCCAAACUUCAUUUCGCUUGAAGUUGUUGAGUUCCUCCUGCAUGGCUAACACCCAGUCCGGAUCUAGCAAGGCCUCUUCUACCCUGAAAGGCUCAAUAGAAGAGACAAAGGAGUAAUGCUCACAAAAAUUAACUAAUCGAGAUCGAGUAGUUACUCCCUUGCUAAUAUCACCCAGAAUUUGGUCGACGGGAUGAUCCCUUUGAAUCAUCGCUCGAACUUGGGUUGGAGGUGCCGGUUGUGCUUCUUCCUCCAUCACAUGAUCAUCUUGUGCUCCCCAUUGAUCACACUCCUCUUGAUGAACCUGUUCAUCGUUUUGAGUUGGGGGAUGCAUCAUUGUUGAGGAAGAAGGUUGAUCUUGCUCCAAUUGUUCCUGUGGUCGCACAUCACCAAUCGCCAUGGUGCGCAUAGCGGCCGUUGGAACGUCUUCUUCAUCUAAAUCAUCAAGAUCAACAACUUGCUCUCUUGGAGAGCCAUUAGUCUCAUCAAAUACAACGUCGCUAGAGACUUCAACCAAACCCGAUGAUUUGUUGAAGACUCUAUACGCCUUUGUAUUUGACUCAUAACCUAACAAAAACCCUUCUACAGCUUUGGGAGCAAACUUAGAAUUUCUACCCUUCUUUACUAGAAUGUAGCACUUGCUCCCAAAUACACGAAAGUAAGAUACAUUGGGUUUGUUACCGGUUAGUAGCUCAUACGAAGUCUUCUUGAGGAGGCGAUGAAGGUAGACCCUGUUGAUGGCGUGGCAAGCCAUGUUCACGGCUUCCGACUAGAAACACUCGGGGGUCUUGAAUUCUCCAAGCAUCGUCCUCGCCAUAUCGAUUAGUGUCCUGUUCUUCCUCUCUACCACACCAUUUUGCUGUGGUGUGUAGGGAGCGGAGAACUCGUGCUUGAUCCCUUCCUCCUCAAGGAACUCCUCCACUUGAAGAUUCUUGAAAUCGGACCCGUUGUCGCUCCUUAUCUUCUUCACCUUGAGCUCAAACUCAUUUUGAGCUCUCCUAAGGAAGCGCUUGAGGGUCCCUUGGGUUUCAGACUUAUCCUGCAAAAAGAACACCCAAGUGAAGCGGGAAAAGUCAUCGACAAUAACUAGACCAUACUUACUUCCCCCUAUGCUCAGAUAGGCGACGGGUCCGAAGAGGUCCAUAUGCAGCAGCUCCAGGGGUCUUGAAGUGGUCAUCACAUUCUUGCUGUGAUGCGCUCCUCCCACUUGUUUACCUGCUUGACAAGCUGCACAAGGUCUAUCUUUUUCGAAUUGUACGUUAGUCAAACCUAUCACGUGUUCUCCCUUUAGAAGCUUGUGAAGGUUCUUCAUCCCCACAUGUGCUAAGCGGCGAUGCCACAGCCAGCCCAUGCUAGUCUUAGCAAUUAAGCAUGCAUCUAGACCGGCCUCUUCUUUUGCAAAAUCAACUAAGUAAAGCUUGCCGUCUAAUACACCCUUAAAAGCUAGUGAACCAUCACUUCUUCUAAAGACAGACACAUCUACAUUUGUAAAUAGACAGUUAUAUCCCAUAUUGCAUAAUUGACUAACAGAUAACAAAUUAUAUCCAAGAGACUCUACUAAAAACACAUUAGAGAUAGAGUGCUCAUUAGAAAUUGCAAUUUUACCUAACCCUUUUACCUUGCCUUGAUUCCCAUCACCGAAUAUAAUUGAAUCUUGGGAAUCCUUAUUCUUGACGUAGGAGGUGAACAUCUUCUUCUCCCCCGUCAUAUGGUUUGUGCAUCCGCUGUCGAUAAUCCAGCUUGAACCCCCGGAUGCAUAAACCUGCAAGGCAAAUUUAGGCUUGGGACUUAGGUACCCAACUCUUGUUGGGUCCUACAAGGUUAGUCACAAUUUCCUUAGGGAUCCAAAUGCAAGUUUUAUCACCCUUGCAUUUUGCCCCUAACUUCCUAGCAAUCACCUUUCUAUCCUUUCUACAAAUUGCAAAGGAAGCAUUCAAAGCAUGAUAUAUUGUAGAAGGCUCAUUAACUUUCCUAGGCACAUUAACAACAUUUCUCCUAGGCAUAUUAUGAACAACAUUUCUCCUACCAACGUUCCUAUCAUGCUCAUAGAAAGAACUAGAAGCAACCAUGUCAUGAUAAACAUAUGAAUCAAAAACAUUAUAACUUCUAUUUGCAUUUCUAGUAUGUCUCCUAUCAUGAUACAUAAAAGCAUGGUUCUUUUUAGCACUACCAGCCAUAGGGGCCUUCCCUUUCUCCUUGGCGGAAAUGGGAGCCUUAUGGCUUGUUAAGUUCUUGGCUUCCCUCUUGAAGCCAAGUCCAUCCUUAAUUGAGGGAUGUCUACCAAUCGUAUAGGCAUCCCUUGCAAAUUUUAAUUUAUCAAAUUCGCUUUUGCUAGUCUUAAGUUGGGCAUUAAGACUAGCCACUUCAUCAUUCAAUUUAGAAAUUGAAACUAGGUGUUCACUACAAGCAUCAACAUUAAAAUCUUUACACCUAGUGCAAACCAUAACAUGUUCUACACAAGAGUUAGAUUUACUAGCCACUUCUAGUUUAGCAUUUAAAUCAUUAUUAACACCUUUUAAAGUAGCAAUGGUUUCAUGACAAGAAGAUAAUUCACUAGAAAGCACUUCAUUUCUUUUAACUUCUAAAGCAUAAGAUUUUUGUGCCUCUACAAAUUUGUCAUGCUCUUCAUAUAAAAGAUCCUCUUGUUUUUCUAAGAGUCUAUCCUUUUCAUUCAAGGCAUCAAUCAAUUCAUUAAUCUUUUCUACUUUAGUUCUAUCCAAUCCCUUGAACAAACUAGAGUAAUCUAUUUCUUCAUCACUGGACUCAUCAUCACUAGAAGAAUCAUAAGUGACAUUGUUUUGAUUGCAUACCUUCUUCUCCCUUGCCAUAAGGCAUGUGUGACGCUCGUUGGGGAAGAGGGAUGACUUGUUGAAGGCGGUGGCGGCGAGUCCUUCAUUGUCGGAGUCGGAGGAGAAGCAAUCUGAAUCCCACUCCUUUCCGAUAUGUGCCUCGCCCUUGGCCUUCUUGUAAUGCUUCUUCUUCUCCCUUUUGUUCCCCUUUUCCUGGUCACUUUCAUUAUCGGGACAGUUAGCAAUGAAAUGACCAAUCUUACCGCAUUUGAAGCACGAGCGCUUCUCCUUUGUCUUGGUCUUGCUUGGCUGUCCCUUGCGACCUUUAAGCGCCGUCUUGAAGCGCUUAAUGAUGAGGGCCAUCUCCUCAUUAUUUAGCCCGGCCGCCUCAACUUGCGCCACCUUGCUCGGUAGCGCCUCCUUGCUCCUCGUUGCCUUGAGAGCAAUGGGUUGAGGCUCAUGAAUAGGACCGUUCAACGCGUCGUCCACAUAUCUUGCCUCCUUGAUCAUCAUUCGCCCGCUUACGAACUUCCCCAGAACUUCUUCGGGCGACAUCUUGGUGUACCUAGGAUUUUCACGAAUAUUGUUCACCAAAUGAGGAUCAAGAACGGUAAAGGACCUUAGCAUUAGGCGGACGACGUCGUGAUCCGUCCAUCGCGUGCUUCCGUAGCUCCUUAUUUUGUUGAUAAGGGUCUUGAGCCGGUUGUAUGUUUGAGUUGGCUCCUCGCCCCUUAUCAUUGCGAACCGUCCAAGCUCGCCCUCCACCAACUCCAUCUUGGUGAGUAAGGUGACAUCGUUCCCCUCAUGAGAGAUCUUGAGGGUGUCCCAGAUCUGCUUGGCAUUGUCCAAGCCGCUCACCUUAUGGUACUCGUCCCUGCACAAAGAGGCUAGCAACACAGUAGUAGCUUGUGCAUUUUUAUGAAUCUGUUCAUUAAUAAACAUGGGACUAUCCGUACUAUCAAAGUGCAUUCCACUUUCUACAAUCUCCCAUAUGCUAGGAUGGAGAGAGAACAAGUGACUACGCAUUUUGUGACUCCAAAAUCCGUAGUCCUCUCCAUCAAAAUGAGGAGGUUUACUAAGUGGAAUAGAUAAUAACUGAGCAUUAGUACUUUGAGGAAUACGAGAGUAAUCAAAAGAAAAGUACGAAUUGACCGGUUUCUUUCUCUCGUAUUCGUUGUGGUCGUCGUCCUUUUGGGAGGAAGUAGACUCAUCGCUGUCGUAGUAGACGAUCUCCUUGAUGUGUCUUGUCUUCUUCUUCUUCCCAUCUUUGCGUCUGUGGCCCGAGCCCGAGUCGUUGGACUUGUCAUCCCUUGGCUCGUUGACGAAGGACUCCUUCUCCUUGUCGUUGAUCACGAUUCCCUUCCCUUUAGGAUCCAUCUCUUCGGGCGGUUAGUCCCUUUGUGAAGAGAACGGCUCUGAUACCAAUUGAGAGCACCUAGAGGGGGGGUGAAUAGGUGAUCCUGUGAAACUUGAAAACUUAAGCCACAAAACUUGGUUAAUCGUUAGCACAAUAAUUGCCAAGUGGCUAAAUAGGAAUCCUCAACAAAAUACAAUAACCAACAAAGAUCAAUCACAGAGAUGACACGGUGGUUAUCCCGUGGUUCGGCCAAGACCAACGCUUGCCUACUCCACGUUGUGGCGUCCCAACGGACGAGGGUUGCAAUCAACCCCUCUCAAGCGGUCCAAAGACCCACUUGAAUACCACGGUGUUUUGCUUUGCUUAUCUUUAUCCCACUUGCGAGGAAUCUCCACAAAUUGGAGUCUCUCGCCCUUACACUUAAAGUUCACAAAGAAGCACGGAGUAAGGGAGGGAAGCAACACACACAAAUCCACAGCAAAAUGCGCACACACACGGCCAAGAAUCGAGCUCAAAAGACUAUCUCAAAGUUCUCACUAGAACGGAGCUCGAAUCACUGAGAAUGACAAACGAAUGCGCAAAGACUGAGUGUGGAUGAUCAAGAAUGCUCUAAGGUUGCUUGGUUUUUCUCCUCCAUGCGCCUAGGGGUCCCUUUUAUAGCCCCAAGGCGGCUAGGAGCCGUUGAGAACAAAUCUGGAAGGCCAUCCUUGCCUUCUGUCGUCGGGCGCACCGGACAGUCCGGUGCACACCGGACACUGUCCGGUGCCCGAUUUCCUUCCUUAAAUGGCGAAGCCGACCGUUGCAGAUGUGGGAGCCGUUGGCGCACCGGACAUGUCCGGUGCACACCAGACAGUCCGGUGCCCCCUUCCGACCGUUGGCUCGGCCACGUGUCGCGCGCGGAUUCCGCGGCCGACCGUUGGCCCGGCCGACCGUUGGCUCACCGGACAGUCCGGUGCACACCGGACAGUCCGGUGAAUUUUAGGCGUACGUCGCCGGUGAAUUCCCGAGAGCGGCCAGUUCGCUCGAGCCAGCAUGGCGCACCGGACACUGUCCGAUGCACCACCGGACAGUCCGGUGCCCCAGACCGAAACAGCCUCUUGGCUGUACACAGCCAACUCUUCUCUUUCCUUCUUCUUUCUGUUUCUGAUACUUAGACAAGUAUAUUAGUACACAAAACCAAUGUACUAAGACUUAGAAACAUACCUUUGCUCUUGAUUUGCACUUUGUCCAUUCAUGGGCAUAGAUUUACAUUUAAGCACUUGUGUUGGCACUCAAUCACCAAAAUACUUAGAAAUGGCCCAAGGGCACAUUUCCCUUUCAUGGAUAAAUAAGUGGGGGUGAGCAAUAAAUUUCAUCCUAGAUUUAGAAGGAAUAAAUAUAUCACUAAAUACGUUUUUUUUUACAAUGGCAAGUUAAUCAGGUGGGAGCGAGAAACAAUUCUAGCGAGGCUAGGUUGUACUAGCCCAAAAUUACAUACAACAGAGGAAAAAUGAAGAAAAUGAUGGUCUACCAAAUAUGGCGCAUGAGCCUUAAGGUGCACCUAGAGGGAAGUAGAAGAAUAAAUAUAUAAUAGCAUAUGUUUUUCGCAAUGCAAGGUAAAGUGUAGAUGUGCUCUAACUGGGCUUAGAUUGCAGCGACACAUUAUGCAUCUACAAGGCUUGGUUGCACAUGGAAAAAGAUAGAGAGAGAAAUGUAGACGCAGGACCGGGAGAAAACAUUCAAUGAGACGUGAUUGCACGGACAUAGAACUAGAUAUAAGACAAGAGUUAAAGAAAAAAAGGAACUAAAUUUUCUUGUGCACACUAAGCAUGAAUGGAGUUGUAGUAUCUGAGAUCAAAAUUUAAUUUAUUCCAAGAUGCAGAACAAAAACGUGAUAUUCGUAAUGGUUACAUAGGAACAAAAGUAGAUAAGAAAAAUAGCAAAAAGAUAGUGGUCUACCAGAGAGGGCACAUGUGCCUCAAUUGGCCUAUAGCAUAGUGGCUCAUUAUCCUUCCACCGCUGGUGGCGGGCGGUACUCGCUGCUCUGUGAAGCCAGCCUCACGCAAUGUCCGCCACUUUAGGUGUUGGGAUGCAAAGGCUUUCGCCAAGGCAUCCGAAACCCACUACACAACUUGGAAUGGGUGGUCCACAAUUUGUAGCACUAGACCCAUACACAUGCACCACAAUUGAUAUCCACACUACCUUAUUGCCCCCGCUCGGGUUACAAGCAAUCGCUACU